This 462-nucleotide ribosomal RNA is filed under the name uncultured bacterium. Its description in RNAcentral is "partial 16S ribosomal RNA". It matches the Rfam family "Bacterial small subunit ribosomal RNA", at positions 28 to 507 of the family's 1533-position model. The record is from RNAcentral.
GAUGAACGCUGACAGAAUGCUUAACACAUGCAAGUCAUUGGCGAAGCUGCGCUUGCGCAGUCUAGCCAAGGCGGACGGGUGAGUAACGCGUAAGGAACUUGCCCUGCAGACAGGGAUAACAGACGGAAACGACUGAUAACACCUGGUAUUGUCAGGCUGGCGCAUGCCGGCCUGAUGAAAGGAGACGCUGCAGGAGAGCCUUGCGUCCUAUUAGCUAGUUGGUGGGGUAACGGCCCACCAAGGCGAUGAUAGGUAGCCGGCCUGAGAGGGUGAACGGCCACAAGGGGACUGAGAUACGGCCCUGACUCCUACGGGAGGCAGCAGUGGGGAAUAUUGGACAAUGGGGGCAACCCUGAUCCAGCAAUUCUGUGUGCACGAAGAAGGUUUUCGGAUUGUAAAGUGCUUUCAGCAGGGAAGAAGAAAGUGACGGUACCUGCAGAAGAAGCGACGGCUAAAUACGUG